Molecule: long non-coding RNA, 279 nt
Filed under: Amborella trichopoda
Lineage: Eukaryota; Viridiplantae; Streptophyta; Magnoliopsida; Amborellales; Amborellaceae
Description: long non-coding RNA (ATRI_LNC000642)
Source: RNAcentral
UCUCUAAGCAUCGGUAAAAUCUCAUCACCGAUCUUUCCUUCUAAACCUGCUCUUCCGACCGAGCAACACCAUCUAUCAAUACCUUCUUUCCGACUGUAAUACCCCUACUGAAAGAUAACAUCGAGAGCAAUUGAGUGAUUUUUUCUCUCUAGAAGUGGAAACCUUACCAACUCAAAGCUCAUGGGAAUACCGCCUCUCUUGUAGGCCAUGUCUCUCUUUUUUUUUUUGGAGACGUAUCUCUAUCUUUGGAGAUUCAUUCCUAUAACUCCCAAAGAGGUG